This 27-nucleotide non-coding RNA is filed under the name Rattus norvegicus (Norway rat). Lineage: Eukaryota; Metazoa; Chordata; Mammalia; Rodentia; Muridae. The record is from RNAcentral.
CACCAAGGCAUAUGGAGACAGGAUAGA